This is a non-coding RNA of Arachis ipaensis, 1388 nucleotides long. Lineage: Eukaryota; Viridiplantae; Streptophyta; Magnoliopsida; Fabales; Fabaceae. The record is from RefSeq and is a predicted model, not a curated record.
UUGGAAUCUCAAAAGCUAUAUCGGUGCACUGGCUAACCACUAGGGGAUUUAGUCAUGUUAAGUGUUAUCCGAAAGAAAUAAACUCCAUGUUAUAUUCCCACUUUAAUGGAAAGUUUCAAACUACGAUGACACUUGUUUUUGACUGAGUGAGUGAGUGAGAAAGUGAAAGUGUGUGUAAUCGAUCACAAAGAAAGAGCGAACGGAAAGGAAUAUGUGGUUUCUUGGUUGGAAAGGAGAAUCUGGCUUCUCAGCCUCCUCCACGGCGGAGCAAGUCACUCAAGGCAUUGAUGGACACGGCCUCACCGCCAUCGUCACCGGGGCUACAAGUGGCCUUGGUUUGGAGACGACGCGAGUUCUUGCACUGCGCGGUGUCCAUGUUGUUAUGGCUGUAAGGAAUGUUGAAUCUGGCACCAAGGUCAAAGAAACAAUAUUGAAGGAAAUUCCCUCAGCUAAAAUUGAUGUCAUGGAAUUAGAUCUUUGCUCUAUGGCAUCUGUUAGGAAGUUUGCAUCAGAUUAUAUUUCUUCUGAACGUCCACUCAAUAUCCUAAUUAACAAUGCAGGGGUGAUGGCAACUCCAUUCCAGCUUUCUCAAGACAACAUUGAGAUGCAGUUUGCAACGAAUCAUUUGGGUCAUUUUCUCUUGACAAACCUUUUACUACAAACUAUGAAAAAAACUGUACGUGAAUGCAAACGGGAGGGAAGGAUAGUCAUUCUAUCUUCGGAAGCACACAGACUUCCAUAUCAAGAAGGAAUUCGUUUUGAUAAGAUCAAUGAUGAAUCAGUGUACAACAGUUAUUAUGCUUAUGGACAAUCAAAGCUUGCUAAUAUUUUGCAUGCCAAAGAACUUACGAGGCGCUUUAAGGAAGAAGGAGUUGAAAUAACCGCUAACGCACUUCAUCCAGGAUCAAUUAUUACAAAUAUUCUGCGUUACCAUGGUUACAUUAAUGCUGUUGCUAAUAUGGUGGGUAAAUACUUACUUAAAAAUGUGCAACAGGGAGCUGCCACUCAAUGUUAUGUAGCAUUGCAUCCACAAGUUAAGGGAAUAUCUGGUGAGUACUUUAUGGACAGCAAUAAGGCAACGCCAACCCAUCUGGCUAACGAUUCAGAGCUGGCUAAAAAACUAUGGGAGUUCAGCGUAAGCCUAACUAAUCAAAAGUAGCUCACAGGUUUGUCUGACUACUAAGUAAGGGCAAAACAUAGUUGUAUUGAAAAACUGUUUAGCAGAAUAGAAACUUGCUGUUACUCACAAGCCGUAUAAGCUGUAUAUAUGUAAAUUUAAGACGCGAUGCAUAACCACUCAAGUAGUGCUACAAUUUGGCAUAUACAUUACAUGAAGCCUUUGCAUUUUCAAUUUGCAAAAGAGUAAUGACUUUCCUUCCAGCAAAAAA